GCCCUGGUAGCUCAGUCGGUAGAGCAAGGGACUGAAAAUCCCUCUGUCGGUGGUUCGAUUCCGCCCUAGGGCACCA
This 76-nucleotide transfer RNA is filed under the name Clostridiales bacterium. RNAcentral's name for it is "tRNA-Phe". It matches the Rfam family "tRNA". From Rfam's summary of the family: Transfer RNA (tRNA) molecules are approximately 80 nucleotides in length. Their secondary structure includes four short double-helical elements and three loops (D, anti-codon, and T loops). RNAcentral also lists the same sequence under 1 other name. Lineage: Bacteria; Bacillati; Bacillota; Clostridia; Eubacteriales. The record is from RNAcentral.